GACGAACGCUGGCGGCGUGCCUAAUACAUGCAAGUCGAACGCAGUGGGGACGGGUGAGUAACACGUGGGUAACCUACCAUCAGAGGGGAUAACACUUGGAAACAGGUGCUAAACCGAUACUGAUGGAUGAACCCGCGGUUCAUUAGCUAGUUGGUGAGGUAACGGCUAACCAAGGCCACGAUGCAUAGCCGACAUGAGAGGGUGAUCGGGCACACUGGGAGUGGGACACGGCACAGCCUCCUACGGGAGGCAGCAGUGGGGAAUCUUCGGCAAUGGACGAAAGUCUGACCGAGCAACGCCGCGUGGGGUAAGAAGGUUUUCGGAUCGUAAAACUCUGUUUUUAGAGAAGCGGUAUCUAACCAGAAAGCCACGGCUAACUACGUGCCAGCAGCCGCGGUAAUUC
This 403-nucleotide ribosomal RNA is filed under the name uncultured bacterium. RNAcentral describes it as "partial 16S ribosomal RNA". It matches the Rfam family "Bacterial small subunit ribosomal RNA", at positions 28 to 526 of the family's 1533-position model. The record is from RNAcentral.